GAACCACCCGAACGUUAUUCGGAAUUACUGGGCUUAAAGGGUGCGUAGGCGGCGCGGAGGGUGGGAUGUGAAAUCCCCCGGCUCAACCGGGGAAUUGCGUUCCAAACCGCCGUGCUCGAGGAAGAUAGAGGUGAGCGGAACAGAUGGUGGAGCGGUGAAAUGCGUUGAUAUCAUCUGGAACACCCGUGGCGAAAGCGGCUCACUGGGUCUUCUCUGACGCUGAGGCACGAAAGCUAGGGUAGCGAACGGGAUUAGAUACCCCGGUAGUCCUAGCCGUAAACGAUGAGCACUUGAUUGGAGGGAUUGUCACGUCCCUCCGGUCGGAGCGAAAGUGUUAAGUGCUCCGCCUGGGGAGUAUGGUCGCAAGGCUGAA
This 373-nucleotide ribosomal RNA is filed under the name uncultured bacterium. RNAcentral's name for it is "bacterial SSU rRNA". It matches the Rfam family "Bacterial small subunit ribosomal RNA", at positions 527 to 898 of the family's 1533-position model. The record is from RNAcentral.